GUUUAUUAGAACGUCCCUGUCUGGAGGGGGCAUACACAGGCGGAGAGCAAGCUGGACAGGAAGGGAGCAGAACUUCAUUCUUGCUCUCUGCCCUCUGGUAAGAUUGCACUCCCCAGUCUAAGGUGUGACUCAUUUCGGUCAAUGCCAGAUCGGGGGUUCCUCUGGAGGAGGUGUUUGCAGAUGUAGUUUAUAAUGGAAAGAAUGCCAUUCUCUUUGUACAGAACCUCAGCUGCAGCAUUGUUGCCCCUAUAAAGGAAAAACAACAACCACAACCUGCGACAAUUCUCCACUAACAAGUGGCCACAUGACAUUGCUGAGAGCUUGGCGAGAGAACAAUGUGGUUAGAUGUUUGGAACAAGCUUUCGCAACUUGCCGUGUAUGUGGAUAGGGAACGGCGUAUGUGGAAAUGUGAACAUCCCAAUAAUAAUUGCUUUCAAAUAUUGAGGAUGAAUAAUGGCCCCAUAUAUUAUUUCAGGUCCCUAUUUUCUAGGGUAUAAAGUGACAAGCUAUAAGGAAUGUCCAUGAAAUAGGCAGCUUGAAUUUAGGGGACCUGUAUAUUUUUAUUUUUAUAUGAUUUCAAACUUUGUCUUAAUUCAUG
Molecule: long non-coding RNA, 598 nt
Organism: Tupaia belangeri chinensis (Chinese tree shrew)
Lineage: Eukaryota; Metazoa; Chordata; Mammalia; Scandentia; Tupaiidae
Exons: 4
Source: RefSeq, a predicted model, not a curated record